GGAAGGCAUAGAAAACAAGAUGAUUUGGGGCUGCCAAAAGAGGCUGGCUCUGCUGCAGCUGGCAGUUUGGGCCACUCGCAGUAUAUCUAACAGGAAAACAUUACUUGAUUAUGGCUGGAGGGGGUGAAUCUAACCACACGAGGCAGAGGUUGUGGCCUUGCUCUGAGAAGUUGGCUGAUACUAAUGGAAAGGCAUAGAGUGGAGGAGGAACAAUAUUGUUCAGUCCAGGUGGUGCUGAAAGUUAGAAUUUCCAGGACAUAGAUGCUGUGUGGAAGGGCUAUCUGAGUUACGGUUUAGCUUUGCAGCUAGCAGUCUGAGGAAGCCUACCAUAAUUCCCAGAAGUUCAACUUUGAACUACUUUUUGUAGAAUAGAGUCCUGAGGUGUUCAAAGAAUCAGAUGUCUGAGAGAUACUACGCAAAAAGAUAAAAUGAUAAUAUAACUAAAGCAUGACCAAUAUCUGCUUAUUUUCAGGCCACAAAGAUAUUUGAUUGGACUAAUGUCUUGUUUUUAUCACUGUCAUUAGCACUACUUUUCAUGGAGAUGUUCUGCGCAGGCAGCAACUUGCAAAUGGCUGUUGUCUUUCUGUGGAGCUAUGCUGCCAUUUCCCUGUGGUAUGGUGUAAUUCAGCAUGUUUUAUCCACGGUGCCCUACAUCCUUGGUGAUGGGAAGGGAACUGCCUUUUUGGAGAAUCGAGGAACACUGGCUGCUGUCUGACAACUGAAGAGGCAUAAGGGAGAGAAAUACAAAGAAUCUUGU
RNAcentral lists this long non-coding RNA (757 nucleotides) under Numida meleagris (helmeted guineafowl). RNAcentral's name for it is "lncRNA (ENSNMEG00000020323.1)". The record is from RNAcentral. Lineage: Eukaryota; Metazoa; Chordata; Aves; Galliformes; Numididae.